This is a long non-coding RNA of Leptonychotes weddellii (Weddell seal), 359 nucleotides long. RefSeq lists it as uncharacterized. Lineage: Eukaryota; Metazoa; Chordata; Mammalia; Carnivora; Phocidae. The record is from RefSeq and is a predicted model, not a curated record.
ACCUGAGGGACCUUCUUCCGGCUGCCACCUGCCGGGCCCCGGCCUUGGUGGGCUCCGCAGAGACUCCCCAUGGCAGCAGGACCAGGUCACUCAGGUAUCUCAGAUCACUCCUGGCUGGCCCCAGCUCUCCCUGCCUCCAGAUUCAACAUGACGGGUACAUGGGACGGACUGCCAGCCCUGGACCGUUCUUUGCUAAGGAUCCCCUUAUCAGAGACUGGCAAAGAGAACUGCAGAGGGGAAAGAAAAAAAAAAAGAAAGAAAGAAAUCCAGGGGAAGUGAGAAGAAACAUGUGUGAAACCUAGGCUCUCGCCCUGGACCAGCAUUAAAUAAACCAGGGCCUGGUUGAAAAGGAGGACAGA